This is an RNA transcript of Ruditapes philippinarum (Manila clam), 2423 nucleotides long. RefSeq lists it as uncharacterized. NCBI's taxonomy places the organism in Eukaryota, Metazoa, Mollusca, Bivalvia, Venerida, Veneridae. The record is from RefSeq and is a predicted model, not a curated record. The transcript is spliced from 3 exons.
AAAUGUUCAAUCUGACAACAAUAAAAUUUCAGAUGACAGUGCAUUUUGAGAAUAAAUAAACAUGUCAGUUUACCGAGUAUUGCUUUGGAGUUGCUCGCCGGUGUCACUAGUAUGCUUUUUAAUGUAACGAGUAUUGGUUAUUAAUAUCAAGUAAAUGUGAGAAGUAAUCACAGAGUAUUUACCACAUUUAACCUUAAAUAUUUCUUAUUGUCACAAUGUGUAUACUUAUUGACAUAUGUGCAGAAUAUGCAGAUUUUGGAGGUACUGUACUGAAUAAUACAUACCCAGCAAACAUGCAUAUAUGGGACCCAUAUGGGCUAUAUCUAGGCAAGCUAAUGGGUAUGCCCAUAUUGGACCUAUAUGGAUCCAAUAUUGGCAAGUCCAUUUGGGUACGCCUAUAUAUUAGACCCAUAUGGGUACCAUAUUCCAGCACUUUAAGGAAAAACGAUUUUUCUUUUAUUUAUUUCUUUAGAACUCGUUUACUUUGAGCUAUAGUGUGACCACCUUGGCAUAAAUUGCUAUUAUCUUAUAUAAAAUCGUAGCAUUAUUUUAAACAUUUAUACAAGCCAUGAGGGACCCAUAUGGGUCCCAUUUGGGCAACCCGAUAAAUAUUAGCAUGCCUGAGCAGGUGCGAGAAAUUAAUUUGUUAAGUUUUUAUAUUGGUUUUAAUUUUUAUUAUUUAAAUAUAAAAAUGUGUUUUUAGACUAUAAAUUCAGAAAUAAUUUAUAAAAAUCAGCAUUUGAUGAAAAAAUUUAUUUCGAGCAUGUGCAGACGUGAUUUCCGCUGCCGCUUAAAAUCAAAUUGUGUAUUGAAACGUUAAAUUGUAAAAUUGUACACGAAAAAAAUAUUUCUUUUCGAUUCCGAGCAUUUAACCACGAUUUCGUAUAACGACCUUUCAUAUUAUAUCCUAACAUGUUUAUUGUGUGUGUAGGUAAGCUGUAAACGCUGUUUAGUUUUUGGUUUUGCCUUUGCCAUGUAAUUUCCCAAUAGUCGUUUAAUUUGCGACAUUUUCUAGAAUUUACGCCCUGACUCUUAGGCACUUUAGCUGACCUAUGCAUGUGUAUAGUUGUUAUUGUUGAAUUACUUAACUGUGACGGAGUCGACACUAACAUUUUAAAAAUAUUGUUUCUAUCUAGACUAAAUUUUAAGAGAUCUUUUUUUAAAGGGACACCAUCAUUUGAAAUCCAGUGUCCCCCCUAGCCUUAGAAGUCCCUUCCAUUUUGUACCAACAUUUCAUUCAUAAGCAUUUUAAAAUAUUAAAUACAAAUACUUAUUUUUACAAAUUCAAGUAUUUUUUCCAAGUACCAACCAAGCCCUCUAGCUGUUGCACAGGCAUGAGUAUCGGACCUGAGAAGAAAAAAUAUGACCUGAUAGAUAAUUAAACCUGUGUUCAUCUUAAAAAAUUCAAAAACCAAAAAAAAUGUAAAUUAUGACCCCCUUUAAAAACAUACUAUAAGUUAAGAGAAGGCCGGAAACUCUAGAUUCGAGCCUACGAGCAAGGGAUUCACUACCCGGGCCGUUGUGAAAACAAUUGUCCAGACAAUUAAAAAAUCUUUUAUCAUUAUUUCACAUUUGUAUUAAGCUUCCAAAUGAGACCAACUCCAAGUCUCUAGCCCUUCCUGUUCAUGAAAUAAUCCUAUCAGGAAACGAGCGCAUUCGUGCUAAAAAUCCUUGGUAGAAAAAAUUGCGGCACAACAAUUCGGUACGUAAACAUAGACUAAUACAUGUUUGUCAGCCGUGUACAGGUCAUAAUCAUAUUGUCACUUGGUGCAAUAACUCACUUAAUGUAUAUGUAUUUUUUAACUACUUAUUAAUGUAUUUUCAUUUUAUUGUCAAUAGGCCAUCAAAAAGGCUGUAUGAAUCGGAUAGUGACACUGAUGAGAAUGAGACAGACACCGAGAGUAGGCCAUCACAAGUUAUUGACAAAGCAACAACGCCCAAACAGGCACGAAGCCUACUUUCACCUCCGCCUUGCUUAUCUGCACAGGCAUUGCGAGAGGCCAGCAGUGAUGUGCAAAGUGCUUCUCUAAUACAAGGUGCUUCUGAUACGCCCUCCCGUGGGCAGAUUAUUGGGCCCACUGCUGUUACACAGAUUCUCUGAGUCUUGGAGACAAUGCGGGAGGAGAAUCGUGAAAUUAAGAGGAUGAUGUAGCAAUUGUUGUCAAGGUCAGCAGCAGAUGACCAACCGCUGCAGCUUCCUGAAGAUAUCUCAUUCCCUAUUCGUUCUCCUUAGCAGAUGGAAACAUUCGAUGAGCUUCUGGGAGAUCAGACAAAGCUGUCAUCUGUGGUGCGGUUCCUCUCAAUGUUUGGUGGGGCAGUUGUGCGGGAAACUGUUGACCGCUAGAUGAUAGAAACCAUGUCAAAUGAACUGGCAGGAAUGUUCAAUAUGAAGGGGCUGAAAGGGAAGAAAACAUUUUGGGGCC